RNAcentral lists this ribosomal RNA (374 nucleotides) under uncultured organism. RNAcentral describes it as "partial 16S ribosomal RNA". It matches the Rfam family "Bacterial small subunit ribosomal RNA", at positions 527 to 896 of the family's 1533-position model. The record is from RNAcentral.
GUAGGUGGCAAGCGUUGUCCGGAAUUAUUGGGCGUAAAGCGCGCGCAGGUGGUUCUUUAAGUCUGAUGUGAAAGCCCCCGGCUCAACCGGGGAGGGUCAUUGGAAACUGGGGAACUUGAGUGCAGGAGAGGAAAGUGGAAUUCCACGUGUAGCGGUGAAAUGCGUAGAUAUGUGGAGGAACACCAGUGGCGAAGGCGACUUUCUGGCCUGUAACUGACACUGAGGCGCGAAAGCGUGGGGAGCAAACAGGGAUUAGAUACCCUGGUAGUCCACGCCGUAAACGAUGAGUGCUAAGUGUUGGGGGGGCUUCCGCCCCCUCAGUGCUGCAGCUAACGCAUUAAGCACUCCGCCCUGGGAGUACGGUCGCAAGACUG